Molecule: long non-coding RNA, 2480 nt
Organism: Pan paniscus (pygmy chimpanzee)
Lineage: Eukaryota; Metazoa; Chordata; Mammalia; Primates; Hominidae
Source: Ensembl
AUGCCAGCACCAGAUCUCUCUUCGGAAGGAGGAGCGGGGCGGGCUACACGGCCAGACGGGCCCUCCCCUUCAGGCCGGGUGGGCCGCGCGCUUGCGAUUUUCCGUCCGUGGUCCCGGGGCAGCCCGGGCCAGCCCAGGAGAACCCGCGAGCCCAGCGGCGCCUGCACCUGCGGCUUCCGGGAGCCGGGCGGCCCCCGCGGUGCAGGCGCGCGCCUAACGGCUUUGCGAGGCUCACUAGGUCUGAGAGGUCGGAGGCCGCCAGUGUCGCUGCUGAAGGGUGGACCAGGCGGGAUCGCGGAUUCUGGGCUACAUCGCAGACUUGCCGCAGGGGCCGGCGGUCCGGGGCUCCCUAGGCCACGUCUACAGGGGUUCGGGGUACCGAAUCGGAAGAUCCACAGGGCGCUGUCAAGGGCGAAGCCGCGGAAGUGGAUCGCUGCCUGGCGUGCAGGAGCAGAGACCUGGAAGCCGGGGACACGCAGCACAGGCAGUGGGGUGGGGGCUCAGCCCAGGGUGGGAGGGGGUCCCCAGGCCCGGCUUCCCCGCAGCCCCUGGGAUGGGGCCUCGGAGGGCACCCUCAGAGGGGUGGUGCCAAAUGGAGCCUCAGCUGCUCUGCAUCCCUCAUAAUUCCCCAGCUGGAGCGCUUGGUGGAGAGUGUGAGUGAUUUAACUCACAAAGCUAAGCAUACACAGUGUUAUUUUUAACCUACACGUUUAAAACAUGGUGUUAUAUACAUUAUAGGAGGUGCCUAAUGAGAGAACUGAUUCCGUGAGUCGGCCGGGCGCGGUGGCUCAGGCCUGUAAUCCCAGCACUUUGGGAGGCCAAGGCGGGCGGAUCACGAGGUCAAGAGAUCGAGACCAUCCUGGGUAACACGGAGAAACCCCGUCUCUACUAAAAAUAAAAAAUAAAAAUAAAAAUAAAAAUAAAAAAAUUAGCCGAGCGUGGUGGCGGGCGCCUGUAGUCCCAGCUACUCGGGAGGCUGAGGCAGGAGAAUGGCGUGAACCCGGGAGGCGGAGUUUGCAGUGAGCCGAGAUCGCGCCAUUGCACUCCAGCCUGGGCGACAGAGUGAGACUCCGUCUCCAAAAAAGAAAAAAAAACAAAACAAAAAACAAACAAAAAAAAACCGUGAGUCAUUUUCAGUAGCGAAAAGCUCUCACCUAAAACUGUCCGUUUUACAUCCGUAUCCACCUGUGUAGAUCGGUUCUUUACUGAAGGUUCUUAGAAGGAAACUUGGAAGUGGGAGGUGGGUUCUGUGUUCCUGAAUGGGAAGACACGUUUUUCUCACAAUGUGAGCUCUUUCUGUGAUUAUCAAUUUUACAUAAGCCGAAUGAAAAAAUCAAGGUUUUAACAUUUUUGCGUGACACCUACUGUCUUUUACUAUUGUAAUGACAUUUGUAAAAAUUUUAGGGCUGGGCGCGGUGGCUCACGCCUGUAAUCCCAGCACUUUGGGAGGCCGAGGUGGGCGGAUCACGAGGUCAGGAGAUUGAGACCAUCCUGGCGAACACGGUGAAACCCUGUCUGUACUAAAAAUACAAAAAAAUAAUGAUAAUAAUAAUAAUAAUAGCCGGGCGUGUUGAUGGGCGCCCAUAGUCCCAGCUACUCCGGAGGCUGAGGCAGGAGAAUGGCGUGAACCCGGGAGGGGGAGCUUGCAGUGAGCCGCGAUCCAAACGUGCUGGGAUUACAGCUGUGAGCCACCGCGCCCGGGCUGAAAAGUGCAUCUUCGUUUUACAGGGAAUUCUUUCAAAUCAAAUAAUCAAAAACUCUAAAAGCGGGCAAAGUACUUCUUUGCAGAUCUACAAGUUUCUUUCUUUUUUUUUUUAAAUAACGGAAAACUUUUGAAGUUUAUUCAAUGAUUAAAAGAACUUAAAAAUAAAGAACUUAUUUGUGUAGAGGAAGGCUUUUUCUUGGCACAGUUAUUAAAAUUCUCUGGAAUAGAUUUCAAUUUUUUUCUUUUCUUUUUUUUUCCCAUUUUUCUCCAGUGAUUUUUAUUAUUAUUAUUAUUAUACUUUAAGUUUUAGGGUACAUGUGCACAUUGUGCAGGUUAGUUACAUAUGUAUACAUGUGCCAUGCUGGUGUGCUGCACCCACUAACUGGUCAUCUAGCAUUAGGUAUAUCUCCCAAUGCUACCCCUCCCCUCUGCCCCCGCCCCACAACAGUCCCCAGAGUGUGAUAUUCCCCUUCCUGUGUCCAUGUGAUCUCAUUGUUCAAUUCCCACCUAUGAGUGAGAAUAUGCGGUGUUUGGUUUUUUGUUCUUGCGAUAGUUUACUGAGAAUGAUGAUUUCCAAUUUCAUCCAUGUCCCUACAAAGGACGUGAACUCAUCAUUUUUUAUGGCUGCACAGUAUUCCAUGGUGUAUAUGUGCCACAUUUUCUUAAUCCAGUCUAUCAUUGUUGGACAUUUGGGUUGGUUCCAAGUCUUUGCUAUUGUGAAUAAUGCCGCAAUAAACAUACGUGUGCAUGUGUCUUUAUAGCAGCAUGAUUUAUA